UACGGAGGGUGCAAACGUUGCUCGGAAUCAUUGGGCGUAAAGCGCACGUAGGCGGCCCAGCAAGUCGGGUGUGAAAGCCCUCGGCUUAACCGAGGAAGUGCAUUCGAAACUACUGAGCUUGAAUACUGGAGAGGAUCGCGGAAUUCCCGGUGUAGAGGUGAAAUGCGCAGAUAUCAGGAGGAACACCGGUGGCGAAGGCGGUUCUCUGGGCCUGUACUGACGCUGAGGAACGAAAGCGUGGGGAGCGAACAGG
RNAcentral lists this ribosomal RNA (253 nucleotides) under uncultured bacterium. Its description in RNAcentral is "partial 16S ribosomal RNA". It matches the Rfam family "Bacterial small subunit ribosomal RNA", at positions 524 to 776 of the family's 1533-position model. The record is from RNAcentral.